This 89-nucleotide transfer RNA is filed under the name Scedosporium boydii. RNAcentral describes it as "tRNA-Ser". It matches the Rfam family "tRNA". Rfam says of the family: Transfer RNA (tRNA) molecules are approximately 80 nucleotides in length. Their secondary structure includes four short double-helical elements and three loops (D, anti-codon, and T loops). Further hydrogen bonds mediate the characteristic L-shaped molecular structure. tRNAs have two regions of fundamental functional importance: the anti-codon, which is responsible for specific mRNA codon recognition, and the 3' end, to which the tRNAs corresponding amino acid is attached (by aminoacyl-tRNA synthetases). tRNAs cope with the degeneracy of the genetic code in two manners: having more than one tRNA (with a specific anti-codon) for a particular amino acid; and 'wobble' base-pairing, i.e. permitting non-standard base-pairing at the 3rd anti-codon position. Lineage: Eukaryota; Fungi; Ascomycota; Sordariomycetes; Microascales; Microascaceae. RNAcentral also lists the same sequence under 1 other name. The record is from RNAcentral.
AGAGAAUUGGCCGAGCGGUUUAAGGCGAUAAGCUUGAGUCUUAUUUGAUAUAAUAAAAUAUCACAUCCGUUCGAAUCGGAUAUUCUCUG